GACAGAGGAGGCGAGCGUUAUCCGGAAUUAUUGGGCGUAAAGCGUCCGUAGGCGGUUUGGCAAGUCUGGGGUUAAAGCCCGGAGCCUAACUCCGGAUCGGCCCUGGAAACUGCCAGACUAGAGUAAGGUAGGGGUUGGGGGAAUGCCCGGUGUAGCGGUGAAAUGCGUAGAUAUCGGGAAGAACACCAGUGGCGAAAGCGGGCAACUGGGCCAGUACUGACACUGAGGGACGAAAGCUCGGGGAGCUAAUGGG
Molecule: ribosomal RNA, 253 nt
Filed under: uncultured bacterium
Lineage: Bacteria
Description: partial 16S ribosomal RNA
Rfam family: Bacterial small subunit ribosomal RNA
Source: RNAcentral